CGUGAGUCUGUGUAAAUGUAUACGUGUGUGUGUGUGUGUGCAUGUGAGUGUAUGUGUGUGUGUGUGUGUCUGUGUGUGUGUGUGUGUGUCUGUGUGUGAGUGUGCGUGCGUGUGUGUGUGUGUGUGUGCAUGUGUGUGUGUGUGUGUGUGUGUGUGUGUGCAGGUGAGUGUGUCGGGGAGUGUGCUGGAGAUGGCGCUGAACCGCUGGGACUCUCGUGGGGACCUGCAGUGUGACGCGUGGCGUGACUUCUCCUGCUCCGUGUAUGCAGUACAGACAGACGAGGCUGGCUUCUUUGGCCUGUUCAGCGCCAUGCUUCCUGAGGUCCACAUGCUGGUUCUGGAGGCCGUGCCCGAGGCCCACAACACGUCCUCAGAGGCACCUGACACACCUGGAGGUGGGAGUCAGCCAGCUUACCCAGAUUCCACAUCUUCAGUCUUGUCAUCUCUGAGACCACAUCUUCAGUCUUCUCCUCUUACAGAUUCCACAUCUUCAGUCUUGUCAUCUCUGAGACCACAUCUUCACGCCUCUCUCUUUCUGUGAUUCGGAUCUUCCUUCAAUUCUCAAACCUGAUUGGUGAGCCUGUGGGGGGGUUAGUGGAGGAGCGGGAGCUGCUGUGGUCUCGAGGGGGGGGGCACCUCUGGAGGAAGCACAGUAACGCCAGCACUCUGGGGGUGCUGAACCCCACCUCCUGCCUCCAGCUGGGAGACAUCCUGCUCUUCACUGUCAGCAGGGAGCACUUCCCCCAGUACGACAUGUGAGUCUCUACCCCAGUACGACAUAGACAGCCUGUUCAACACCAAUACUGCCUUUGACUGGGGAUCCUUCCGGAAGCUUGCCCAGGACCAGACGGAGAGUGUGCCCACUAUGACCCCCAGCCUAUUCUCAGUGCGCUUCAGUGAGCCCGGGGUCUACGUCCUCAGAUUAAACAGCCACCACAACAAACACAUGUAUGUAAAAGUGAUGCCAGCCGGAGGGCAGUGCUACGAGACUGGACCCUUUUUUCCCGCCAUCUCUCAAUAUCUCACCCGUAUGGGCAUCACUAAGCAACGGCAGCUGCUCCUGCAACCUGAUUGGUUGUUAAUUGGGGGGCUCAUGGUUGGGGCGUGUGUGUUGCUUGGCCUGUGCAUCGCCCUGCUGGUAGUGUUCCGUGAGUACGGCUGGCCUGAGAAGGUUCCGGUGCAGGCUCGGUUCCGGGCACAGCAGCUCCGGUACCGUAUGGAUGACUACUCGUCCAAAGGGUCCCAACUCACCAUGCUGCAGAAGAAGCACCGGAGCCUACAGAUCGCCCUGACCCAAAACUCCACGCACAAAGAUGAGUUCUGGGACUACGAGGAACAGGUGGAUCUGGAGGCCUUCAGUGCCAGCACCUUCUAUGACAUCCUACUGAGGCACAGUGUGUCUGUCACUGCCCGCCUGGGACAACUCAGAGGAGAGGUGAAGGAGCUGUACCAGGGCGUGGUGUGUAAGGUCCAGGGGCUGCAGCUGGGGUGUGUGGAGGUGAGCGCCCCCGGUGGCGGGGACGGAGGGUGCGCCGAGCCGUGUGAGCGCGUUCGGCGGGAGCUGGAGCGGGAGGUGGCGCGGCGCCAGGCGUUGGCAGAGAGGCUGUGCCAGCUGUUGCAGUGCCAGCUGCAGACGCUCCAUCAGGAGCUCCAGCGCCAGCGACACACACACAGGACGCUGCGGGCGCGACUCAGGACCAGCCUACGGCUGUUGGGGCAGGCCGCAGACAGCCCUCAGUCACGCAGUGUGCUCCAGUGUGUGUGUGCCCUGGCGGAUGAGCUGGAGGAGCUGGUGUUGGGGGAGUGCCAAAGGGAGGGUGUGUGGGCGGGGCUUAAAGAGGGCACAGGUGCCCGCCUCCUCUGCCCAGCCACGGGCGCCGUCCUCACCAGGGAUGACAUCAUCGCGUCUGACGGCGCCCUGCAGGCCUGCCAUGCCCUGCACGUGGACCCUGUGAGCGGCCUCAUCCUGCCCAACCCCGGUGCCCAGAUGCUGCUGUCUAACGGGCACAGCAUGCCCGUGCCCCCGGACUUUGUCCUUCACCCCCAGACUGGCCGCCUGCUCCCGGCCGCGGGCAACAUCGGCUUCGACCCCCACAGCUCCACGCUCGUGUUUACCACAGACGCCUGCCUCGGGAAUGCUGGGAAGUGGGAGGUCCCUCUGCUGCCGUUCGUCCCGUACCCCACCCCCCGCCCCGGGGAGCGCCCAGAGGGGUGUGGCCUGCGUGGGCUGCGUCCGGGGCAGAGGCUGGCGCUGGGGGGGCCCAUGUGUGACCGGGACACCGGGGUGCUGGUGCCCAUCCUGGCCGUGACGCUCCACCCCCAGACGGGCCUGGUGUACCCGCUGGGGGGGGUGCACCUGUGCCCCAUCACGCGCCUCCCGCAGCCCAUACAGGUGGGGGGACCCAUGCUGGACCCUCGCACCGGCAGCCUGGUGCUCAUCACAGGGGUCACCAUGGAGACCAGCACAGCUGCUGUUCAGCCUGUGGGGGGUCUCCUGCUGGGGGAGUCCUUCAUCGAGCCCCUGAGCGGGCGCCUCGUGCGUGUGGGGGGCGGCAGCAUGCGGGGGGGGAAACUGGUGCCUCACGCGGGGGGGUUCCAGGUGCUGCUGGAGGCCCAGGCCCUGGGGGCGGGGGCGCGCGCUGUGGAGCUGCUGCAGGGGGUGUGUGGGGGCCGGGGGGACGGGGGGGGCUGCAGCGGGAGGUGGGCCGCGUGAGAGAGGCAGCCGUGCAGCAGGAGCAGGCCUGGAGGUGCAGCCUUCACUGCGGCAUGCAGCUCUGCGCCCGCAUGGAGGCCACACACACCUGGGCCCGCAGCAUCCUUCACGACGGAGGCAGCAUCGGCGAGAUCCAGUUGCCCAGGUCGGACCUGUCCCUGCCUGCCCUGCCGGGCCUGGAGUAUCCUGACCCGGGUGGUUCGGGUCUCAGUGUCCCGGUGCUGGGGGCGCAGCUGGACUGGCAGACGGGCCGCAUGGUGCCACUGGCAGGAACUAUGGAGGACGCCGAGGGCAAAGGGCUGGUCCCCAUCCGUCUGGGUGCCCCGACGGUGGACCCUGUGACUGGGACUCUGUCUCCGGUGGUGGGGGUUCGUCUGGACGCGGUGAAGAGGACGGUGGUGCCGCUCACUCCCUCUCACCUCAGCAGCCUAGGGGACAGCACUGACAGUGUGCAGCUGGACACCCUGCAGAAGGAGGUGUGUGUGAGAUUAUGCUACUGGAGACAGCAGAGGCACAAAGAGGAGGAGCUGCUGGGAGACCUGGAGGCAGCACUCAGACACACACACACGGUGCAGUGGGCGGAGUGUGAACACCAGCUGCGUGAGGUGGUGCAGGAGCUGCAGGAGGCUGCGCAGAUGGAGACGCAGAGGAGACACACACACACCGGCGAGCUCACACACCUGCUGCCUACACACAUAAUCAACAUCCUCACACAGGGUGAUGAGGAGGAAUGGGAGCAGCAGUGUGUGUGGCAGACUGAGUUGGUGACGGGACUGAACAGGAUCAGUGUGUGUGUGGAGAGGAUGCAGGAGCAGGAAGAGGCCAAAGCUCAUCACGCACUCCAACUGACUGGAUUAGGGAGACAGAGAGACGUGUGGGAACAGCUGAGUGUCAGACAGUCAGACCUGGAGGCGGCUUUCAUCUCCGUCCUGUGUGUACGAGAACUCAGCCAGAUACGUGCAGAAACGGCCCAGGCCAUGUUGUCGGGCUCGUUCUGGUACAGUGACUUCAGCCUGAGUCAGCUGCGGGCCCCUCCUAACCCACUGAAGGCCCUGGCCCUCACCCAGUUGAAGAUCCUGCCUCACCUGGAUCGACUACUGCAACACCUGGACGACACACACGGCCAGCACAGCUCAGGCCUGUCAGUCAAGCAGACGCCUGGAGGAGUAGAGAACUGUUCCCGAGAGUGGACUGCCUCAGUCUCUGUUGUCAAGGGAGUCUCACCUCAGUCCCUGAAGGAGCAGAUUAAGUCCCGCCCAUCAGAAGAGCAAGACGGACCAUUGGUCAAGGAGCGACAGGGGAAGAGUCCAACCAAUCACAAUGCAGACCUGCUGACUGUGAGGGAUUGCGCUCUGCCCCGCCCCAUCAGUAUUCCUGUGCUGACAGAGGGAGAGUGGGCCCGUGUUCUGGAGCUGUCCCCCCUCUUCCAGCUGCUCUGUGGUUUGGAGCAGCAGCUCCGGUGCCGAGCGAAAGAGAUGGGCCUCUUCACAGGAGACAGCAGCGACAGGGGGCGCUCUUACCUGGACUUCCUGGAUGCUCAGUGGGAGUGUGAGGGGCAACUAGUAGCCGUUGGUACAGAGUGUCUGAACACGCGAGAGCAGCUUAUCUACCAGCACGGCCAGUUCCUGCUCCAGACGCUACACUCACACAGAGUGGUUCCCCUGGUGAAGCUUCAGAUAGCCUCCAGUUUGCCCUGUAAUAACUACCACCAAAAUGCCUUCAGAAAGUCCAUCUUCUAUCAGGAGGAGGAGGGGGUGCUGUACGUCCGUCAGCAGAGGCUGCAGUCAGUGGGGGGCUUCUCCCUGGUGCUGCUGCACUCCCUGGCCCACGUGGCGUGUGGGGAGAUGGACUCCGACUCAGGUCCCGCCUUCCAGAGGACCUUCUUCAAGGCCCUGCAGGUGUGCCUGGGCCUGUUGUUCAACGCUAGACUGGGGAUGCCCAGCCCAGGGCCAGCUUCCCCCCCAGCAGACAGCUCUCACAAUGAUGCCCCACUAACUGCCUCCCUUCUCCACGGGGCUCAGACGACUAGAGGAGGGGCUCACACAGACAACAACGAGAUGCUGGAGAUCCUCCAGAGGCACAAACAAGCGGCUGUGUUCCUUCAGCUGGAGGCUCUGCUGAAGGGGCGGAGCCUGGAGGGCCGGGACCCUGACCCUGUGUUGGAAGAGAACUGGACCCUCAGAAGGGGGACAUGACUCACACACACACACACACACACACACCCUCAGAAGGGGGACAUGACUCACACACACACACACACACACCCUUUAGAAGGGGGACAUGACUCACACACACACACACACACCCUUUAGAAGGGGGACAUGACUCGGACA
Molecule: long non-coding RNA, 5046 nt
Organism: Clupea harengus (Atlantic herring)
Lineage: Eukaryota; Metazoa; Chordata; Actinopteri; Clupeiformes; Clupeidae
Source: Ensembl